Pollicipes pollicipes is the source of this 5728-nucleotide RNA transcript. RefSeq lists it as uncharacterized. NCBI's taxonomy places the organism in Eukaryota, Metazoa, Arthropoda, Thecostraca, Pollicipedomorpha, Pollicipedidae. The transcript is spliced from 6 exons. The record is from RefSeq and is a predicted model, not a curated record.
UUACGAUAUGUCAUGCCUUAAACACGACGAAUGGUGUACAAUGAUUUUUUCUAACGUUAGGUAGGAAAGUACACCCUGACCCAUUGGCAUCCAUGUUCCAUGCCAUAUAUACAUACCACAUUAAUAAUUUUUUCUGCCACCAUAUUAUUUUGUUUUUCAUUCCCACCCAAAGACAUCAUAUUUGCCUGCCAUGUCAACCAAUCUAGAAACAAUACAGAGGACUGCUUGGACAUGCAAGAAACAUAUUUCAUUGGGUUCCUGUUACCUUGGCCCCAUACAUUUUUGUGAUUCUUGAUGCUCAGUAAUGUGACCAACCAUAGCAAUGGUGCCAGGGUCGCAGUUGCUGUGUUUGCAGUGCUUGGAUGUUCGCUAUCAUAGUUAUUUUAGUACCAAGGUAAGGGUAUAGAUGACCUGUUUUGCUAUUAUUUAUGUUUGGCCUUAAAAAUGACAAUUGAUGUGCAAUGUUCCUUUUUAACAUUAGGUACCAAUGUGUACCAUGACCAUGCUGCUGGUUAUGAUUGAAGCAAACCUCUGAGCAAGGCAUGGAGAGAUACAAACUUAAAAGGUAUUGCAUGAAUAUGUCAGCAGAACAAGAUUCAUAAAUGUGAUGCAUCCACUGACCAGGCAUGUGCUGGAAGACAAUCGGGAAUGAUCAUAAGUUGUCAGUCAGCCAAUGAAUGGCCCAUUGAGGUCAAUCAACAGUGCUAUCUUUUGUGACCUUCAGACUUCAUGCUUUCAUUAUUGUGUGAAUAUAGCCAUUUGAUUUGUAGGGUAAGAUGUUACUAUUUUACUGUUCAUUGGUAUUCCAUGGCUUAAGUCACCUUAUGUAGACAGCUUUACCAUGAAAGGAGCUUUACACCAAAAGGUAUUGUCUUUCAUUUGUUGUCACUACCAUAGACAACUAAGAUGUUGAGAUAUUGAAAUGUCUGAAGCCAAUACAGAUGUCCAUGCAUUUUUCUAUGCCUGCCACAGCUGUUUUUGAGUUUAAAUUUCAAAUGUGACACUGCACCUUUGUAGAUAUAAUUGUGGACAUUUUUGCUUUCUUGAAAAAGUGGACACAUCUGACCUACCAGUGUGACAAACACUGGUAGGUCAGAGGUGUCUGCUUUUAGUUAUAUGUGUCAUUCAAGUGGUGAUCUGUGGUAUCAUCUUUACCCAGCUCUUGGAUAAUGGCAAAUUGCCAUAAAUCAUGGGUGUUUUGCUGUAUAUGGGGUUAUGCUACAAAUCCUGCAGUGUUUGACAUGUUCAUAGUGCUACUAGGAGCCACUUUAUAAUUGCUGACCUCAAAUUUGACAAAUGGAAAGCACUUCUACUAGCUCCAGGUUAUUAUUUUUCAAUAAUUGAGUGAUGGUGUGAUCUAUAAAUGGAGAGUGCAGAUUGUGUUGUGUGUUGAAGUCACUUUGACCACUUGUUAUUUUCCCUGCCUGGGAUGGCUUUCAGCCAGUGGUGGCAGCUGUGUGUAAGGUCAGGUGAUGUCAAAGUGACAAACUAUACCAAAAAAUGUGGCUCAUUCACUGUCACAUGGCCAAUACUCACAAUAAAAUUAUGCAAUAGACCAGAAGCUUCAUAAAAGCUGGGGUCAGGAGUCACACUACAGACACAGAUGGGUUCAGAUGGGAAUCCUUCCAUUCAGAGGGCUCAGAUUGAAUAUGGAAAGUAGAAGAUUAAAAAGCACAAUGUGUGGUUUGUAUCCAGCUCAAUUUGAUUUCCAGUUUUACUUAAGAUAUUGUUGACUGAAGAUACAAGAUCAGAAUGCUACAUGUGCUUGUGUGGGUGAAGCAUGAGCUGCACUGUAUGUACAUAUGUGAUAUGCUGUUUUUAAUAACUAAAUCAAUCGUGAUGUGGCCUGUCUUUUACACAUAAAGUGCUUCAUUUAUGCUUUGUAUGUGUGUAUUAUCUUGUUUAGCUGUCUUGAUUACUGUUAAAACUGGCAACACAUCUGCCAAUAUAUAAGGAGCACCAGUGAUUGUAGCCUGCAGGCCUUUGACUUCCUGGAAUUUUAAUUUUUAUCUCCCACAUGGAAGAUAAGCUUUCUACCCAGUGACCCAUUUCAUCUAUCUUAAUAAAUACUGUUCUCAUUGCAGGCAAAUAGCAAGUUGAGGGCAAGGCAUAAUUUGUGGUGUCAAAUUUAGUUGCUGUGUUAAUCUGCUGUAGUCAAAUAGUGUGAGUUGUUGAUUUUUGUUACUGUUUACUGGCAGGUGGAGCUGCUCCCAUGACUACCAUCUAUUAAGUAAGGUGACAAAGUCAGGGUCACUAGUAGAAUAAGACCUGUAGUUAGAAUUAUCUUCAGGGAGGGAUGCUGGUGUAAUUUGUUAUCAACUUCUCAAAUUUGAGCAAGAUUCCCACAAAAAUGUAGCCUAAUGGUUUAAGUAUCUUGGUCUGGGGGAAUUGUUUCCGAAUUCAGCUAGGUGUGUAGGGUGCAAAGUUGAAGUAAAUUGUAAGUAAUUAUGAACCCACCUUUUGAAUUUGUGUGAUCUGUCUGAAGUGGGUGUCCAAGUUUUGUUUUUGCAUGCAUUAGCAUUAGGGCUUAUGUAUCCUUGUUCUGUUGCACAGUAUAUCUUUGAAUGACUUGGCUUGUUUUCAGGGUUUGAGGCACACCAUGGCUGUGAGCUUAUGACAUGGUUAGUCUGAAGCCAGUGUUCCGUUGUGAAGAAGACAUUGAGAACUGUUUGACAGCAAUAGCGGCUUGAGUGAUUGUCCUGAGACAUUUUGCAGGCAUGCAAUUUGCUUGCUGUGUUAUGAUAGGUGACAGCUCCUGAAAUUGUCAGAGCUUUGAUUUCCUGGUGUGCAGGAAAACAGUUUAGUUGUGCUGUGAGACAUUGGACUUGCUUGUUAUAUGCAUAGACUGGGCAGUGGACUCUGUAACCACCAAAUUUCAGGACCACUCAGCUGUAUCGCGGGACAUGGACUCCGUAAGUUUUCGUUACUCACGCCUUGGCUGAACUGGUGUCCGCGUAGUGCCCCUGAACUCGGCUGAUUUUCUUAGUGCCCGCCAGACGCGUAUCGUUCCGCGCACGCAGCUGAAGCCAGCGAUUUCAGUCGCGCGCAGUGAAGAGUCGUGUCCCAUGCCAUUUGGCGAGGAACGGCAACGUACCGGUGCGUGGUGAGGAUUGCGGGCACUGCUGCCGUCUCGCGUAGGACCUCGCCAACUGUUUGGGAAUCGACGCAGUGCAGCCUGAGAACUGCACAUUCAGUACGGGAGUGUCGCCGGCCCGCGCGACUCGGACACUGCUGGUGACUUCUGGACCGCUGCCGCGCGCCUCUGGCGCCACGUCCAGCCGGCCCUCCGACGAGACGCAUCCGUCCGACCACUACCAGCUCAUCUCGAUCACCACAGUAUGCGGGAGUCAGCUGUUCGCCGGUCGCGGUGGCAACGCCAGGCCACCGCCUUGGCUCGCCGGCGCGCCCUGGCGCAGCAAAGCCCUGAGCCCGCCCGUGCCGUGCCGACCGAGCACGCUUCAGGUCCGGCGGCGGCAGCCCUGGAUCGGGCCACCCACCAACCCACCACCAGCGUCACCAACAGGAUGUCUGAUAGCACAGACUCUCCCCAUUAUGGACCCUGUGUGCGACCGUCAGCAGGAGGGACAACGGGCACCAGACUCUCAAGAGCUCCUGAUCAUGAAAAUGAGCCGGUACAUUCGGACAGCGAUUCCUAUGCAUCUACGUCUUCCGAGCCGGAGAGGGCGACGCUGCCGGGGUGCGCACCGCUGCCGACGGACGACUCUGGUGCGGCGGCCGACUCGGAGUCGUCGGAGACCGAGCGGUCAUCGUGUCGCGCCUGGUUCUGCCGCCGGCCUGACUGCCGCCGCCUGAACCCACCGCGUUGUCUCUACUGCAGCUGCUGCCGCACGGGCCGCGUCCGGGCCGGGUCCGAUCCCGCGGAAGGGCGGUGCGACCCGCCCGCCGAGCCUCGGGAGGCGGCACGGCCAGCCGGCUCCUGCUGCCUAAUGUGCCGGCGCCGGCCGGUCGGUGCCGCCGCCAUCCUGCACGGUCGCUCCGCCUGUCAGAGCGCAUGCCAUCGGUGCGCGCGACGCCUCUGGAAGCUCGGAAGGCCCUGCCCGGGUUGUGGCCAACACAUUGAGAAGAUCGUCACCCUGUGGUACGCUUGAGCCAGGCUCCGCACACCGCCAGCGAAGCCGCUGUCGGCUUGUCCUGGUCCGGUUCUCCACGACGUCGUCCUGGUGGCCGCGUGAUGAUGCUCAUCUUGACCGAACUCGAACUGCCGUUCUGUCAGAACACUGGACAUCAGGGCCUUUUCACCAUGGCCCGUAAUGGUUUUUGCGCUCUUUGCAGCGCGGUGUCGAUUAUGAAGAGCUUGAACGGCUGGAGACGUCUAGCUGGACAUUUUUGGAGGAGUGGAGGUGAACACUGCAGCUGUUAAAUGUGAUAUGCUGCUGAUCUCGAAUGGCUCAGGGUGGAUAUCGUGGUGUGCUGUGCAGGCUGAUUUGUGACCAUCAUCACCUACUGCCGAGCACAUGGGAUGGACAUAUGGAGGUGCUGUCAAGACCCACUACUAAUCACCAUGGACCACUGGCGAGCUGAGCUAUCGACAAUGUAGGCCGCUGUCCAGCUGAAUUGCUGGCAAUCUGGCUGCUGUCUGGCUCAUGUGCUGGCAAUCAGGCUGCUGUUCAGCUCAGCUGCUGGCGUUCGGACUGCUGUCUAGCUCAGCUGCUAGCCUGGGAGUGCUGUCAAUCCCAUGGCCAGUCAUCCAGGACAGCUGUCCAACUGAAUGCUGAUCACCUGGAGCCUUUGUCCAGCUCCGUGGCUGGCCAGCCAGGACUGCCAUUUAGCCGAACACUGGGCCAUCACUGACUGCUGUUCUGUCAGGACUGGUGGCCAUCAUGGACUUAUAUCCAGCAAAACUGCUGGUCAUCAUGGACUGUUGGUGUUCUGGACUUGCUGCAUGUCAAGUCCAGAACUGUCCAAGUCUGCUGUCAAGCUGAACUUCCGAAGCUGCCAUCCAGCUCGACUGCUGGUCAUCUGGGACUGCUGUCCAGCUCAACUGCUGGGCAUCCAGAAGUGCUGACCAGCACAACUGCUGGUCAUCUGGGAUGUGUCCAGCUCAACUGCUGAUCAUCUCAAACUGCUGUCCAGCUCAACUGAGGUUGUCUGGGACUGCUGUCCAGCUUAACUGCUGGCCUGCCAGGGCUGCCACCCAGCUCAACUGCUGGCUGUCAGCUUAACUGCUGGUCAUCCGGGACUGCUGUCCAGCUUAGCUGCCGGCCAUCUUAAACUGCUGUCCAGCUCAAUGGCUGGUUGUUCGGGACUGCUGCCCAGCCUCAUGGCUGGCUAUUCGAGACUGCCGCCCAGUCCGUGGCUGGUCAUUCAUCAUGCUGGACUGCUUACUGGCACAGCCAUGAACAUCGGGAGAAUGGAAAGGCCAGGCCAGCUCAACAACAAUGGUAUGUACCUCGGUCACUACCAUGACCAAACUUGCCUCAAGCCUUUAGAUGUUCAGAUGAAUCAUUCUGUUUUGAGCUUUUUCAAUGUAAUUUUAAGAUUUUUGCUGUCAAUAUACUUGCCUUAUUGUGUUUCUCAUUGUGGAUGAUCUAUAUCAUGUAAAUAUUUGCCAGCCAUUGUUUUUUCUUAAGGUAUGCUUUUGCCACAUUUCAGGAGAAAGUGUGCCCUUGUGACCCCAUUGCAGCAUUUCCAAUGUUUUCAGGUUUAUCUUGUGUAUGUUCUGCUCACACUCACACAGGCACCUCACUGAGGACACCUCACUGAGGAU